Molecule: long non-coding RNA, 153 nt
Organism: Budorcas taxicolor (takin)
Lineage: Eukaryota; Metazoa; Chordata; Mammalia; Artiodactyla; Bovidae
Exons: 3
Source: RefSeq, a predicted model, not a curated record
GAACUGAGGAGACAACUGGAGGUGGUUUAAAAGGAUGGAGUGCAAAGAAAGAGCCAAUGACACUUAAGUGGCCAAGUAGUUUACAAGCAGUCAUUAAGGAAUCAUCACUAAUAUGGUAUUAUCCUUCCCAUGUGCAAUCACACGAGCAAGUAU